Molecule: ribosomal RNA, 254 nt
Filed under: uncultured bacterium
Lineage: Bacteria
Description: partial 16S ribosomal RNA
Rfam family: Bacterial small subunit ribosomal RNA
Source: RNAcentral
UACGGGGGGAGCAAGCGUUGUUCGGAUUUACUGGGCGUAAAGGGCGCGUAGGCGGCCACCGCAAGUCGACUGUGAAAUCUCCGGGCUUAACCCGGAAAGAUCAGCCGAUACUGCGGGGCUAGAGUGCAGAAGGGGCAACUGGAAUUCUCGGUGUAGCGGUGAAAUGCGUAGAUAUCGAGAGGAACACCUGCGGCGAAGGCGGGUUGCUGGGCUGACACUGACGCUGAAGCGCGAAAGCUAGGGGAGCGAACGGG